AAAACAUGGGGGGUAGGUGGUGGGGUAAGACGUAGUGUGGAAGUGGUUGCAGGAAUGUUUGGGAGUAAAGCGUGCGGAGGAGGUUAGGUAAGUCGGAUGUUAAAGUCGAGGGCUCAAGCGGUGAAGGUCAUUGGAUACGGGCGGACUCGAGUGGAGUAGAGGCAAUCGGAAUUCCAAGUGUAGCGGUGAAAUGCGUAGAGAGUUGGAAGAACACCAGUGGCGCAGGCGGAUUUCUGGUCCAUAACUGACGCUGAGGAGCGAAAGCUAGGGGAGCAAACGGGAUUAGAUACCCUAGUAGUC
Molecule: ribosomal RNA, 300 nt
Filed under: uncultured Mycoplasma sp.
Lineage: Bacteria; Bacillati; Mycoplasmatota; Mollicutes; Mycoplasmatales; Mycoplasmataceae
Description: bacterial SSU rRNA
Rfam family: Bacterial small subunit ribosomal RNA (bases 52-300)
Source: RNAcentral